CCUACGGGUGGCAGCAGUGAGGAAUAUUGGUCAAUGGGCGCGAGCCUGAACCAGCCAAGUAGCGUGAAGGAUGACUGCCCUACGGGUUGUAAACUUCUUUUAUAUGGGAAUAAAGUGAUGCACGUGUGCCUUUUUGUAUGUACUUUAUGAAUAAGGAUCGGCUAACUCCGUGCCAGCAGCCGCGGUAAUACGGAGGGUGCAAGCGUUACUCGGAAUGACUGGGCGUAAAGAGCGCGUAGGCGGGAUAGCAAGUCAGAUGUGAAAUCCUAUGGCUUAACCAUAGAACUGCAUUUGAAACUGUCAUUCUUGAGUACGGUAGAGGUAGGUGGAAUUCGUGGUGUAGGGGUAAAAUCCGUAGAGAUCAAGAGGAAUACUGAUUGCGAAGGCGAUCUGCUAGAACAUAACUGACGCUGAUGCGCGAAAGUGUGGGGAGCAAACAGGAUUAGAUACCCCGGUAGUC
Molecule: ribosomal RNA, 460 nt
Filed under: uncultured bacterium
Lineage: Bacteria
Description: partial 16S ribosomal RNA
Rfam family: Bacterial small subunit ribosomal RNA
Source: RNAcentral